UUUAGGAUCUGUUUGAUAUAUCUACCAAGUUUUGUUGAAAAAUAUUGAACGUUUUUCAUGCUCCGGAAAUGAAAUGAUUACGGAUGGACAGAC
Long non-coding RNA from Haliotis rubra (blacklip abalone), 93 nucleotides. RefSeq lists it as uncharacterized. The transcript is spliced from 3 exons. The record is from RefSeq and is a predicted model, not a curated record. Lineage: Eukaryota; Metazoa; Mollusca; Gastropoda; Lepetellida; Haliotidae.